GUGGGGAAUAUUGGACAAUGGGCGAAAGCCUGAUCCAGCCAUGCCGCGUGUGUGAAGAAGGCCUUUUGGUUGUAAAGCACUUUAAGCGAGGAGGAGGCUACCGAGAUUAAUACUCUUGGAUAGUGGACGUUACUCGCAGAAUAAGCACCGGCUAACUCUGUGCCAGCAGCCGCGGUAAUACAGAGGGUGCGAGCGUUAAUCGGAUUUACUGGGCGUAAAGCGUGCGUAGGCGGCUUUUUAAGUCGGAUGUGAAAUCCCCGAGCUUAACUUGGGAAUUGCAUUCGAUACUGGGAAGCUAGAGUAUGGGAGAGGAUGGUAGAAUUCCAGGUGUAGCGGUGAAAUGCGUAGAGAUCUGGAGGAAUACCGAUGGCGAAGGCAGCCAUCUGGCCUAAUACUGACACUGAGGUGCGAAAGCAUGGGGAGCAAACAGGAUUAGAUACCCGAGUAGUCC
This 451-nucleotide ribosomal RNA is filed under the name uncultured bacterium. RNAcentral's name for it is "partial 16S ribosomal RNA". It matches the Rfam family "Bacterial small subunit ribosomal RNA", at positions 354 to 796 of the family's 1533-position model. The record is from RNAcentral.